CCAUAUUUUUCAUGCACACAAAGGCCUCUCUUUUGGGCAUCAAACCUGAUCCUAAUAUGGUAUCCAACGUCCAAGGUGCUGGGUUUAAAUAGAGAGAAGAUAGAGUUUUAAUUUGGAUAAGAGAUGAGAGUUCAAAUAACCAUGGACUCUUGAUUUUUUGUGAUGCCAACACCAAGAUUAUGUCCACCCAUAUUUCACAUGGAAAGGAGGGGAUAAAAAGGGGUUAUUACACGCACA
Molecule: long non-coding RNA, 237 nt
Filed under: Elaeis guineensis (African oil palm)
Lineage: Eukaryota; Viridiplantae; Streptophyta; Magnoliopsida; Arecales; Arecaceae
Description: long non-coding RNA (EGUI_LNC046561)
Source: RNAcentral